UACGAAGGGGGCUAGCGUUGCUCGGAAUCACUGGGCGUAAAGGGCGCGUAGGCGGCGUUUUAAGUCGGGGGUGAAAGCCUGUGGCUCAACCACAGAAUGGCCUUCGAUACUGGGACGCUUGAGUAUGGUAGAGGUUGGUGGAACUGCGAGUGUAGAGGUGAAAUUCGUAGAUAUUCGCAAGAACACCAGUGGCGAAGGCGGCUCACUGGCCCGGUACUGACGCUGAGGCUCGAAAGCGUGGGGAGCAAACAGG
This 253-nucleotide ribosomal RNA is filed under the name uncultured bacterium. RNAcentral's name for it is "partial 16S ribosomal RNA". It matches the Rfam family "Bacterial small subunit ribosomal RNA", at positions 524 to 776 of the family's 1533-position model. The record is from RNAcentral.